This is a long non-coding RNA of Bufo bufo (common toad), 143 nucleotides long. RefSeq lists it as uncharacterized. The record is from RefSeq and is a predicted model, not a curated record. The transcript has 3 exons. NCBI's taxonomy places the organism in Eukaryota, Metazoa, Chordata, Amphibia, Anura, Bufonidae.
AAUAUGUACUCUGCACACCUUGGAUCCAGUGUGGGUGCCUGUGAGAGUGGUUUAGACAAUAUAGAGUUAAUCCACGGCACUCCAAAAGAUUUGUGCAAAAUACAUUUUCACAUUUAAUUCUUUGGCACACAGAACAUCACCCG